Molecule: long non-coding RNA, 415 nt
Organism: Puntigrus tetrazona (Sumatra barb)
Lineage: Eukaryota; Metazoa; Chordata; Actinopteri; Cypriniformes; Cyprinidae
Exons: 3
Source: RefSeq, a predicted model, not a curated record
UACAGAGGGCAACCCAAACACAACAAAUUCUUUAUCAUCUAUUUUAUUUUUUUGCAGAGACCAUGUGAAAAGCACAAUACCCCAGCAACUUAAGACCUGGGUCAUAUAUGUGAAACCUACGUUCAAAUGUUUGUGGUUACUAAGUCUGACCGUGCUGAUGUCAACUCCAUCCAGCAGGAUUUGACCCUGGUUCAGCUCCACCAUACGGAAAAGGGCGAGGAACAGUGAGGAUUUUCCUGAGCCUGUGCGCCCUACAAUGCCCACCUUCUCACCAGUUUUUAGGGUAAAUAUAUCAGUCCUCUAACCUCAGUGCUGGCUUCUUGAGGCUCCUGCGGGAUGUUGGUGGAGUACUCUUCUGUACGCUCUAUGCUCACUAACUGCAUCUCUGUCUGAGCAAAGCUGAAAAUCAGGCCUG